RNAcentral lists this ribosomal RNA (459 nucleotides) under Triticum aestivum (bread wheat). RNAcentral describes it as "partial small subunit ribosomal RNA". The record is from RNAcentral. Lineage: Eukaryota; Viridiplantae; Streptophyta; Magnoliopsida; Poales; Poaceae.
AUGCAAGUUAAUGUUCAAGGUGUGCUUUGGCUUUGGGAUUCUUUACUGUUUUUGCUUUGGCUUUGUGCGUGGCCUCUGAAAUUAAACCAAAGUUUCAGUGGGUUCUUUUUAAAGACAAUGAAGCUGUCUCAAAUGUCAACCCAGUAUCUGAUCCACUCGACGAUGAGCUUGUUGAUGCAGAUGGCGAGGGCUUGGUUACUUCCAGAUCAUCUAUGUUUUGAAGCAUACACUUUCAGUCUAUGCUUACUUAUUUUACGCUUGUCUGGUGAAACACUAGGUUCAGUUAAUGAGUCUAUUGCUGGAAAGGAGAAGACACCACAACUUAGCACUGACAUUCAGAAAGAUAACUUAACAUUGCCUGGUGAGACGUCAGAUGCAAAUAGCACUCGACAUUUCUUUACUUAUACCCAGGUGCUUUGGUUGCAUUGCAAAACUGCUACAUUCAGCGUGGCAUUUUGA